AGCAGCCGCGGUAAUUCCAGCUCCAAUAGCGUAUAUUAAAGUUGUUGCAGUUAAAAAGCUCGUAGUUGAAUUUCGGGAUCAAUUGAUCGGUCGUGCCUCUGGUACGCACUGGCAUUGUUGGUUUCUACCUUCUGACGAACCAUGAUGUCAUUUAUUUGGUGUCGUGGGGAAUCAGGACUGUUACUUUGAAAAAAUUGAGUGUUUAAAGCAGGCUCACGCUUGAAUACAUUAGCAUGGAAUAAUGAAAUAGGACGUUUGAUUCUAUUUUGUUGGUUUCUAGGAUCGACGUAAUGAUUAAUAGGGAUAGUUGGGGGCAUUAGUAUUCAAUUGUCAGAGGUGAAAUUCUUGGAUUUAUUGAAGACUAACUACUGCGAAAGCAUUG
RNAcentral lists this ribosomal RNA (382 nucleotides) under uncultured Glomus. RNAcentral's name for it is "SSU rRNA". It matches the Rfam family "Eukaryotic small subunit ribosomal RNA", at positions 569 to 956 of the family's 1831-position model. Lineage: Eukaryota; Fungi; Glomeromycota; Glomeromycetes; Glomerales; Glomeraceae. The record is from RNAcentral.